RNAcentral lists this ribosomal RNA (484 nucleotides) under uncultured bacterium. Its description in RNAcentral is "partial 16S ribosomal RNA". It matches the Rfam family "Bacterial small subunit ribosomal RNA", at positions 30 to 507 of the family's 1533-position model. The record is from RNAcentral.
AUUGAACGCUGGCGGCAGGCCUAACACAUGCAAGUCGAGCGGAUGAAGGGAGCUUGCUCCUGGAUUCAGCGGCGGACGGGUGAGUAAUGCCUAGGAAUCUGCCUGGUAGUGGGGGAUAACGUCCGGAAACGGGCGCUAAUACCGCAUACGUCCUGAGGGAGAAAGUGGGGGAUCUUCGGACCUCACGCUAUCAGAUGAGCCUAGGUCGGAUUAGCUAGUUGCUGGGGUAAAGGCCUACCAAGGCGAAGAUCCGUAACUGGUCUGAGAGGAUAAUCAGUAACACUAGGACUAAAGCAGGGUCAAGACGCCGACGGGAGGAAGCAGUGGGAAAUAUUGGACAACGGGCGAAAGCCUGAUCCAGCCAUGCCGCGUGUGUGAAGAAGGUCUUCGGAUUGGAAAGCACUUUAAGUUGGGAGGAAGGGCAGUAAGUUAAUACCUUGCUGUUUUGACGUUACCAACAGAAUAAGCACCGGCUAGCUUCGUG